This is a non-coding RNA of Physcomitrium patens, 2661 nucleotides long. The record is from RefSeq and is a predicted model, not a curated record. NCBI's taxonomy places the organism in Eukaryota, Viridiplantae, Streptophyta, Bryopsida, Funariales, Funariaceae.
GAGUUUAUAUAAUAGUGUUAACAGUGGUGAUGCAUGAAAAGCUCCAGGAUUGGAGGAUCUGGAUAAGUGGAUUGCUGAUAACCCCCAUUCACAAGUCCAAUGCUCAUGAGAUUUUUACAAUAUAUCUGUUGAUUAAGUAGUAGUAGUAGUCGUAUUAGAGCGAGAGAGAGAGAGAGAGAGAGAGAGAGAGAGAUGUCUCUUGUGAGUAUGCUAUGAACAGUCUUUUUGUAGUUUGCUGCUGAUGCUACUCAUCUACCAGUAGAAUGCUCAACAACUACAACAUAUUUCUUUCUCAGUUAACUUGUGCUCCGAGUUUGACAUCUAGACUCCUGAUCUCGGCGGCUGGUCUAAAUCUCACACGGCGAUGUGCGCAGGCGCCCCCCUAGUACUCCUCUCCUUCGUCUUCACAUUCACCUUCACCAGAUUCGGCACCCACCUCCUCGUAGUCCUUCUCAAGCGCCGCCAGAUCCUCCCGGGCCUCGGAGAACUCACCCUCCUCCAUUCCCUCGCCGACAUACCAGUGCACAAAGGCUCGCUUGGCGUACAUGAGGUCGAAUUUGUGGUCCAGCCGAGAGAACACUUCUGCAACGCUCGUGGUGUUGGAGAUCAUACACACUGCCCGCUGGACUUUCGCCAAGUCGCCGCCGGGCACCACCGUCGGAGGUUGAUAGUUGAUUCCACAUUUGAAACCAGUUGGGCACCUGCACACAUAACACUCAUCUUCUUACUUCCAUUGCAACAAUGUUUUAGAGGGCAUACAAUGGUUCCUUGAUUCACAUGGAGAUUGAAUAACAGGGAGUGCAGUGGAAAGGUUACCAGUCCACGAACUGGAUAGUGCGCUUGGUUUUGAUGGUGGCGACCGAUGCGUUGACGUCCUUGGGGACAACAUCGCCCCUGUACAUCAUACAGCACGCCAUGUAUUUCCCAUGUCGAGGGUCGCAUUUCGCCAUCAUGCUGGAGGGUUCGAAAGCACUGUUGGUGAUCUCAGCGACUGAUAGCUGCUCGUGGUAAGCCUUCUCCGCAGACACCACCGGCGCAUACGAGGACAACAUGAAGUGGAUUCGUGGAUAAGGCACCAGAUUAGUCUGAAACUCGGUGAUGUCCACAUUCAGGGCUCCAUCGAAGCGGAGAGACGCCGUCAGGGAGGAUACCACCUGCGUAGAUAUUUUAUUGAUUACAAAUAGUUAGUUAUAUCGAGGUGAUUAGAGUAGUGUUGAUUUUUUACAUUUCUUUGAGCCGCAACAUUGUGUCCGGCAGAGCUUUAAGACUCCCUAUUCACGUCACAUUUUCUUUUCCCUUGAUGUGAUCAGCUUGAAAGACUGAGCUCUCUUUUCUGAAAUUUAUGAUUAUGACAAGGAUUGGAAGUGAUCUUCAACCUGGGUGAUGAGGCGGUUCAGGUUGGUGUAGGUGGGACGCUCAAUAUCAAGAGAGCGUCGGCAGAGGUCGUAAGUGGCCUCGUUGUCAAGCAUGACGGCCACAUCGGUGUGCUCCAGCAACGAGUGGGUAGACAACACGCUGUUGUAAGGCUCCACCACUGCGUUUGAAACUUGGGGGCUCGGGUAUAUCGUGAAACCAAGCUUCGACUUCUUCCCGUAGUCGACUGAAAGGCGCUCGAGGAGAAGAGAACCAAGACCAGAACCGGUUCCUCCCCCUACCGCAUGGAAUACCAAGAAUCCUUGUAGGCCCGUGCAAUUAUCGGCAAGCUUGCGUAUCCGGUCCAGGCACAAAUCCACUAUCUCCUUGCCAACUGCAUAUUCCCGACAGUUCAAUUUGCUGGUUAAACUUUUUGGCUUUUUUUUUCCAUCUAUCUCCACAAGAAACCAUGGCUGCAGAGAACAGAUGGCACGAUGUGCAAAAACGUUGACCCGAUAAGGAGUUUGGAACGUGAUCUUACUGGUGUAGUGACCUCGAGCGAAGUUAUUGGCUGCAUCCUCUUUCCCACUGAUUAGCUGCUCCGGGUGGAACAGAGAGCGAUAAGUGCCCGUUCGCACCUCGUCAAUGACCGUGGGUUCAAGGUCAAGGAACACCGCUCGAGGGACAUGCUUCCCAGCUCCUGUCUCGCUGAAAAAUGUGUUGAACGCAUCGUCUCCCGCUGCAAGAGUUUUGUCGCAAGGCAUCUGGCCGUCUGGCUGUCCCAACCACAAGAGCACGACUCACAAUCAUCAAGCAACCAUGUGAUCCAGAUUUCUACCUUCAUUCUACUUGUUGCUAAGUAUUGGUAUGAGGCUUUAAAGACAUGAGGAGGUUCAUAGGGCUCAUGAGUCUGUCAUAUGGACUACUCUGAAUCUAGACAUACAGGUAAAAAUGAGUUGGGUGUAUGAAAAAAGUGCCGGUGAAGUCACACGCGUCUUGUUUUACUCAUUCACAGGUUUAGUUCUUUCCAUAAAUGCAUGUACCAUGAUAGGAUUGCUUUGUACCUGAAUCCCAUGCUCAAGGCAGUAGAGCUCCCAACAGGCGUUGCCCACUUGAAUUCCUGCCUGUCCAAUGUGAAUGCUAAUGCAUUCUCUCAUCCUUCAGUUAUGGUUAAUUAAAUUACGAGACACACGUUGAAGACGAGACAACUUGCCAAUUGAUAGGGUUGACCAGGGAGUUGAGCUAUUGAAAGAUGCUCACUGCUUUUAUAAUUAGUCCAAAUAAAUUAUCGUCAGGGCAGUAAAUGAA